GGCCCACGUAGCUCAGGGGUAGAGCACUUCCUUGGUAAGGAAGAGGUCACCAGUUCGAGUCUGGUUGUAGGCUU
RNAcentral lists this transfer RNA (74 nucleotides) under Alcanivorax sp. RNAcentral's name for it is "tRNA-Thr". It matches the Rfam family "tRNA". From Rfam's summary of the family: Transfer RNA (tRNA) molecules are approximately 80 nucleotides in length. Their secondary structure includes four short double-helical elements and three loops (D, anti-codon, and T loops). Lineage: Bacteria; Pseudomonadati; Pseudomonadota; Gammaproteobacteria; Oceanospirillales; Alcanivoracaceae. The record is from RNAcentral.